Molecule: small nucleolar RNA, 107 nt
Filed under: Gossypium hirsutum (cotton)
Lineage: Eukaryota; Viridiplantae; Streptophyta; Magnoliopsida; Malvales; Malvaceae
Description: Plant small nucleolar RNA R71
Rfam family: Plant small nucleolar RNA R71
About the family: R71 is a member of the C/D box family of snoRNAs containing the C (UGAUGA) and D (CUGA) box motifs. Multiple nearly identical copies of this snoRNA have been identified in Arabidopsis, and it is thought to function as a 2'-O-ribose methylation guide for 18S ribosomal RNA.
Source: Rfam by way of RNAcentral
AUCUCAUGAUGAGGACACUUACGAAGUAACUUCUUGAAUCGCUCUUAAGCGUCAUAUAAAGACUCAUCAUCCAAUUGUCAAAAAGUUGUGAUCUCGUUCCUCAACUU